Molecule: ribosomal RNA, 253 nt
Filed under: uncultured bacterium
Lineage: Bacteria
Description: partial 16S ribosomal RNA
Rfam family: Bacterial small subunit ribosomal RNA
Source: RNAcentral
UACGGGGGGGGCAAGCGUUGUUCGGAAUUACUGGGCGUAAAGGGCUCGUAGGUGGCCAACUAAGUCAGACGUGAAAUCCCUCGGCUUAACCGGGGAACUGCGUCUGAUACUGGAUGGCUUGAGUUCGGGAGAGGGAUGCGGAAUUCCAGGUGUAGCGGUGAAAUGCGUAGAUAUCGAGAGGAACACCUGCGGCGAAGGCGGGUUGCUGGGCUGACACUGACGCUGAACUGCGAAAGCUAGGGGAGCGAACGGG